RNAcentral lists this ribosomal RNA (385 nucleotides) under Ara macao (Scarlet macaw). RNAcentral's name for it is "partial 16S large subunit ribosomal RNA". Lineage: Eukaryota; Metazoa; Chordata; Aves; Psittaciformes; Psittacidae. The record is from RNAcentral.
CCUGCAAAACGAAUCUAAGUUCCCCCUUAACCCUCUUUUUCCUCCCCAGACAAACCCAACCCAAAUGUGAUAGUUAAGGGCUAUUUAAAGGGGGUACAGCCCCUUUAAAAAAGGACACAACCUCCACCAGCGGAUAACCCCUGUACGCCCAACCCCGUGGGCCUUAAAGCAGCCACCCCCAAAGAUUGCGUCAAAGCUCCAUCAACCAAAAACCCCCAAAACCAAUGCGACUCCCUACACCCACAGCAGGCCAACCUAUAACAAUAGAUGAGUCAAUGCUAGAACGAGUAACCAGGACACUACGUCCCCCUAAGCGCCAGCCUGUAUACCAUUAACAGUAAAACCUCAAUAAUAACCACCCCCACCAUUGAACCCACCCUGUCAA